RNAcentral lists this ribosomal RNA (768 nucleotides) under uncultured Bacteroidota bacterium. RNAcentral describes it as "bacterial SSU rRNA". It matches the Rfam family "Bacterial small subunit ribosomal RNA", at positions 76 to 849 of the family's 1533-position model. The record is from RNAcentral. Lineage: Bacteria; Pseudomonadati; Bacteroidota.
UUCUUCGGAACUAGAGACCGGCGCACGGGUGCGUAACGCGUAUGCAAUCUACCUUUCACAGAGGGAUAGCCCAGAGAAAUUUGGAUUAAUACCUCAUAGUAUAAUGAGUUGGCAUCAACACAUUAUUAAAGUCACAACGGUGAAAGAUGAGCAUGCGUCCCAUUAGCUAGAUGGUAAGGUAACGGCUUACCAUGGCUACGAUGGGUAGGGGUCCUGAGAGGGAGAUCCCCCACACUGGUACUGAGACACGGACCAGACUCCUACGGGAGGCAGCAGUGAGGAAUAUUGGACAAUGGGCGCAAGCCUGAUCCAGCCAUGCCGCGUGCAGGAUGACGGUCCUAUGGAUUGUAAACUGCUUUUGUACAGGAAGAAACACUGGUUCGUGAACCAGCUUGACGGUACUGUAAGAAUAAGGAUCGGCUAACUCCGUGCCAGCAGCCGCGGUAAUACGGAGGAUCCAAGCGUUAUCCGGAAUCAUUGGGUUUAAAGGGUCCGUAGGCGGUUUAGUAAGUCAGUGGUGAAAGCCCAUCGCUCAACGGUGGAACGGCCAUUGAUACUGCUAAACUUGAAUUAUUAGGAAGUAACUAGAAUAUGUAGUGUAGCGGUGAAAUGCUUAGAGAUUACAUGGAAUACCAAUUGCGAAGGCAGGUUACUACUAAUGGAUUGACGCUGAUGGACGAAAGCGUGGGUAGCGAACAGGAUUAGAUACCCUGGUAGUCCACGCCGUAAACGAUGGAUACUAGCUGUUGGAAGCAAUUUCAGUGGCUA